This 480-nucleotide ribosomal RNA is filed under the name uncultured bacterium. RNAcentral describes it as "partial 16S ribosomal RNA". It matches the Rfam family "Bacterial small subunit ribosomal RNA", at positions 29 to 507 of the family's 1533-position model. The record is from RNAcentral.
AUGAACGCUGGCGGCGUGCUUAACACAUGCCAGUCGAACGAAGCACUUUAUUUGAUUUCCUUCGGGACUGAUUAUUUUGUGACUGAGUGGCGGACGGGUGAGUAACGCGUGGGUAACCUGCCUUGUACAGGGGGAUAACAGUUGGAAACGGCUGCUAAUACCGCAUAAGCGCACGGCAUCGCAUGAUGCAGUGUGAAAAACUCCGGUGGUAUAAGAUGGACCCGCGUUGGAUUAGCUAGUUGGUGAGGUAACGGCCCACCAAGGCGACGAUCCAUAGCCGACCUGAGAGGGUGACCGGCCACAUUGGGACUGAGACACGGCCCAAACUCCUACGGGAGGCAGCAGUGGGGAAUAUUGCACAAUGGGCGAAAGCCUGAUGCAGCGACGCCGCGUGAGCGAAGAAGUAUUUCGGUAUGUAAAGCUCUAUCAGCAGGGAAGAUAAUGACGGUACCUGACGAAGAAGCACCGGCUAAAUACGUG